This 955-nucleotide long non-coding RNA is filed under the name Gallus gallus (chicken). RNAcentral describes it as "lncRNA (ENSGALG00010029886.1)". Lineage: Eukaryota; Metazoa; Chordata; Aves; Galliformes; Phasianidae. The record is from RNAcentral.
CUUCUUGGUAACAUAAGUUUGCCUUCCAGUAGCUCUUUGCACCUGCAGUUUUAUUAAAAUGGUACCGGUGUUCACCUCAACACCUCGGCUGGGAAAUCUACAGUAGAGUCACCAUCUCUGUGAGCAGUGAGAUGUGCAGAGCUGGAAAGUCAGCAGAGGAAGAGAGCUGCUUUUGCCUGGCAUCUCCAGUCCUCCUCCCUCCUUCACCUGGAAGCUGGGAGUGCCAAUGUCGCUCUUGCACCCGCCCUACCUAAUGACAGACUCAGUGCUGCAUGAAUCUCCUCCACCUGUCCAAAGGAACACUGUUCAGUAUUCAGUGCAUGCCCUGAUCGGCCUCACAGACUUUCUGGCAAGCUUUGUGCUUCCAUUGGGCUUGCCUGCAGAAGCAUCACCAGGCCCUCAGCACUGCAGAAGACACGAAUGGAGUCUGUACUCUUCUCACUGCCAGCUUGUGUGGAACAGCUUUGCUUCAUCAAGAUGGCUUUAGGAGCAACCCCAGCACAGUGCCUUUACAAAGAUGAGGUUUGCUGUGGUGUAGUAUAGAACACAGACCCAAACUGGACUGAGCCUGCAAGGAAGCUGCAGCAGAUGAACUGCUCUCUUCAAGGUCCAAAGCACGAAGCAGCAGAGCUCACAGAUGACACUGCGGACACACUGCAGCAAGUAUUGAAUAGAGGCUUUAAUGAAAGCCAUGACUCCAGACUGACUGAUGACAAGAUAAUCAUUGCCAUGGUAUCUGGGCAAGUGUUUCUGGAAAACCAUUGACUGAGAAACAUGCUGAACACCCUUGAAAUGGCUGAGGUCAAACUCUACGUGCCUGGGGCAGGGGAGCGGGAUUAAAGCGUGAAAGCCCAUGACAUUUCAUCAGGACUCCAAUGCUUUGAACAGUCCACUGAUAAUGGCUUUGAUUGCACUAAUGAUGGUCUCCAAGAUAGCACAGUGAGAUCAUUGGAGG